GUUUUAAUUCAAUACAAACAAUAAAAACCUUAAAUAAUAAAAAAUAACAAUUCUAGCCAAAAACUAAUUUUCUAGUUCAUAUUAACAUGAGAAAUGCAAAUCAGCUAAUUAAAAUACAGCGAAUGAUUUUAAUAAAUGCAAAUAAGGAGUUACCGCCGCCAUCUUGCUAAUCAAACACAAACAACACAAAAUCACUCGAUACUCACUAGCUGAAAGUCAGGAACGUCCAGAAACUUAACGAUUCCGUGAUGUGUCAUAACGAAAUCAUUAAAAAUAGGCCAAAAAACGACUAAAAAACGUAAUAAAAUCGAGAAAACGCCAUUCACAAACCUCACCUUCCCUUUUCGGCAGAACUUCCGGAAGGAGCUAUGCUGGGGGCGGGGCUUAUGUAAAUAUGAGAAUCUCAGCCAAUCAGAAUCCAUGACGUCACGACGAAACCACGCCUGUUGGCAGUAGAGGGUGGGGCUACACCGCCCUUAUGCGUUGGGAGGACGAACUACAAUUUAGAUUAAUUGUAAAACCGCUGCCUAUAUAUUGAAUAUUAAUAAAGGAUUUUGGUGGGCAGAGCCGCAAAUAAUGUCGUCUCGCCUGUUUAUUGGUCACUUUGGGCUCCAGGUCCUAUAAAUUCUGACCCACCUGAUUAUCCUCCUUACGCGCGAGAGCGGGUGAGACAGACAGCGCUCUCUCAGUCCGGAGCUCGGCCAGGACUCGCGGCCCCAGUGACAGUGAGGGGAGAGUUUUACUGCCUGCUGCUCUGGUAUCGACAACAUGUCGGCUUUCAACAAAGUCACUGAAUUCAGUCCAGCCUGGUUCCAGUCUGUCAACAUGUGAUGAAUAAACACCUUCAGCUUCCUUCCUGCUGCUCUUCUCUCUCACUGAGGACUGAGACUGUGAAGAGUCAGAAUCUACAUUAGUUUCUCUCCCACUGCAGACCAGUCUGCAAUCUGCUUCAGGAGUGGACAGUGACUGGGGAAUUAGACUCUCCCCCUGCCCUCUCUCUGCACUGUCCUGCCUCUCUCCUUCUCUGCCUGCUGCUCUGUGUGUGAAGUGUGUUACUGGCACCCCAGCUCUGCCUUUUACACACACUAUUCAAGGUUUGCUCUUCAGGGUUCAAGUAUAUUUAUGUUGAGUGUUUAUUUAUCACUGGUUGACCAGCCUGGAGUGAAUUCAAAAGCUUUGUUGAAAACUGAAAAGAGACUCAUGUCCCCCAAGUCUCCAGCACUGUAGUGGAGCUGAUGGAAGGGGCUGCAGAUUUAAGAUUUGCAUUCCCUGCAGGCCAAAUACACACCCUGAGACCGGAAAUGUUCUCACCUGAACGCUACACUGAACAUUCCCGGUCUUCAGUCUUGGCUGUGGGGUGGUGUCUGUGUGUUGGGAGGCCAUCAGGUUGCAGAGAAACAGGACACCUUGAGACCGAACAGAAGUCUGAAGAGGCUCUGAGGCUGAAAGCAACAACUUCUACCUGUGUUCAACUGAUUGACUACUGUGGUAAAAGAGUGAAAAUAAAACCAGGAAUGACUAACACUUUUAAAAUA
Molecule: non-coding RNA, 1535 nt
Organism: Lepisosteus oculatus (spotted gar)
Lineage: Eukaryota; Metazoa; Chordata; Actinopteri; Semionotiformes; Lepisosteidae
Source: RefSeq, a predicted model, not a curated record